RNAcentral lists this transfer RNA (74 nucleotides) under Haplopteris ensiformis. RNAcentral describes it as "tRNA-Pro". It matches the Rfam family "tRNA". From Rfam's summary of the family: Transfer RNA (tRNA) molecules are approximately 80 nucleotides in length. Their secondary structure includes four short double-helical elements and three loops (D, anti-codon, and T loops). Lineage: Eukaryota; Viridiplantae; Streptophyta; Polypodiopsida; Polypodiales; Pteridaceae. The record is from RNAcentral.
CGGGGUGUAGCGCAGUCUGGUAGCGCAUCUGUUUUGGGUACAGAGGGCCAUAGGUUCGAAUCCUGUCACCUCGA